CGUUAUGAGAGAGGCUGCGGCUGACAGGAGUAGGGCGCGUAUCCGGCGGGAACCGGGCGUCUGAAAGGGGAAGCCGCCGAAGAGCCGCCGCCGUUCCCGCAGCGCCGGUAUCUGGGACGCAGGGAGAAGAUCCUGCGGACUGUCACGGGGUUUGCCCCGUGGAGAGCUGUCAUGCGC
Molecule: regulatory RNA element, 177 nt
Organism: Firmicutes bacterium CAG:124
Lineage: Bacteria; Bacillati; Bacillota
Rfam family: Lysine riboswitch aptamer
About the family: Riboswitches are metabolite binding domains within certain messenger RNAs that serve as precision sensors for their corresponding targets. Allosteric rearrangement of mRNA structure is mediated by ligand binding, and this results in modulation of gene expression. This family includes riboswitches that sense lysine in a number of genes involved in lysine metabolism, including lysC.
Source: Rfam